CCCUUAGAUGUUCUGGGCCGCACGCGUGCUACACUGAGUGGAUCAGCGGGUCAGGUUGCGCGAAAGUGUUUCCUAAUCUUUAAAUCCGCUCGUGAUGGGGAUUGACGGUUGCAAUUUUCUGUCAUGAACGAGGAAUACCUUGUAAGCGCGGGUCAUCAUCCCGCGCUGAAUACGUCCCUGCCCUUUGUACACACCGCCCGUCGCUCCUACCGAUUGAGUGGUCCGGUGAGGCUUUGGGAUCUGAGCGGAAAGAGCGUUUCGCUGUUUCUGCUCGGAAAACUCAGUCGAACCUUAUCAUUUAGAGGAAGGAGAAGUCGUAACA
Molecule: ribosomal RNA, 322 nt
Filed under: uncultured eukaryote
Lineage: Eukaryota
Description: partial 18S ribosomal RNA
Rfam family: Eukaryotic small subunit ribosomal RNA
Source: RNAcentral